UUGCACGCUGGCGGCAGGCCUCACACAUGCAAGUCGCACGGUAACAGGAAGCAGCUUGCUGCUUCGCUGACGAGUGGCGGACGGGUGAGUAAUGUCUGGGAAGCUGCCUGAUGGAGGGGGAUAACUACUGGAAACGGUAGCUAAUACCGCAUAAUGUCGCAAGACCAAAGAGGGGGACCUUCGGGCCUCUUGCCAUCGGAUGUGCCCAGAUGGGAUUAGCUUGUUGGUGGGGUAACGGCUCACCAAGGCGACGAUCCCUAGCUGGUCUGAGAGGAUGACCAGCCACACUGGGACUGAGACACGGUCCAGACUCCUACGGGAGGCAGCAGUGGGGAAUAUUGCACAAUGGGCGCAAGCCUGAUGCAGCCAUGCCGCGUGUAUGAAGAAGGCCUUCGGGUUGUAAAGUACUUUCAGCGGGGAGGAAGGGAGUAAAGUUAAUACCUUUGCUCAUUGACGUUACCCGCAGAAGAAGCACCGGCUAACUCCGUG
This 489-nucleotide ribosomal RNA is filed under the name uncultured bacterium. RNAcentral describes it as "partial 16S ribosomal RNA". It matches the Rfam family "Bacterial small subunit ribosomal RNA", at positions 30 to 507 of the family's 1533-position model. The record is from RNAcentral.